RNAcentral lists this ribosomal RNA (19 nucleotides) under Medicago lupulina. RNAcentral describes it as "partial 28S ribosomal RNA". RNAcentral also lists the same sequence under 3 other names. The record is from RNAcentral. Lineage: Eukaryota; Viridiplantae; Streptophyta; Magnoliopsida; Fabales; Fabaceae.
CGCUCGUGAUGAGACCUCA